UUGAUUAAUUCAAAAAUUGACUCAGACGCACAGAUGCAGAGUUGAGUGGUCCACCGAGGGCCCCGGCACCCGUGAGGGCCGCCGGGUCGCCCCCGAGGCAACAGAGUCGGAAAACAUGGGGUUGGAGGUCGGGCCACGAGGACCCUCACUCAGUAAUGAUCCCUCCGCAGGUUCACCUACGGAGA
RNAcentral lists this unclassified non-coding RNA (185 nucleotides) under uncultured fungus. Its description in RNAcentral is "sequence contains ITS1". The record is from RNAcentral. Lineage: Eukaryota; Fungi.